Long non-coding RNA from Dicentrarchus labrax (European seabass), 399 nucleotides. RefSeq lists it as uncharacterized. The record is from RefSeq and is a predicted model, not a curated record. The transcript is spliced from 2 exons. Lineage: Eukaryota; Metazoa; Chordata; Actinopteri; Moronidae.
GUUUUAUUAAAAAGUAUAUACAGAUUAUUUACUCCAUAUGUACACGUGAAGACAGUUUAAGUUAAGAGAACGCAAACAGAAGACUGGCCACUGACAACAUUUUGAUCACUUAUUGUAUUUACAUGAUAAAGGUAAUCAGAAUCAGACAUACUUUAAUAAUCCCAGGGGGAAAUUACUUUUGUUACAUACUCCAUAUGAAAUAGACAUACAUAUAUUAAUAAUAUAUAUAUAGUUUAAUUUAAAGUCCCACUUUCUAAUGUGCAAAAAUGGCAAGUGUAAAGUGGUCGCCGGCUUCCUCUUCACCAGAGGCACAUAGCAGGAUGUUGGGUUUGCAGAGGGAGGGAUGUACGACACCGAUGAUGACGUGCGGGAUCUCUCUCGGUAGAUGAUAUGGACGGA